GACGAACGCUGGCGGCGUGCUUAACACAUGCAAGUCGAGCGGUAAGGCCCUUUCGGGGGUACACGAGCGGCGAACGGGUGAGUAACACGUGGGUGACCUGCCCUUAGCUCUGGGAUAAGCCUGGGAAACUAGGGUCUAAUACCGGAUAUGACUCCAUGACGCAUGUUGUGGGGUGGAAAGCCUUGUGCGGCUAGGGAUGGGCCCGCGGCCUAUCAGCUUGUUGGUGGGGUGAUGGCCACCAAGGCGACGACGGUAGCCGGCCUGAGAGGCGACCGGCCACACUGGGACUGAGACACGGCCCAGACUCCUACGGGAGGCAGCAGUGGGGAA
RNAcentral lists this ribosomal RNA (330 nucleotides) under uncultured bacterium. RNAcentral's name for it is "bacterial SSU rRNA". It matches the Rfam family "Bacterial small subunit ribosomal RNA", at positions 28 to 361 of the family's 1533-position model. The record is from RNAcentral.